GGAAAAUCCUGGUUCCCUCAAUGCCAGUGCUCUGUUUGGAUGCCAGCAGGAGACUUGCAUAUGUCAGAUUUAGGAUGAUAAAUGGCCUGCUGUGCCAGCCUCAGAAAUUGCCAAGUUCAGGGAUCUUGAGCUGAGGGCAAACGAAUCCAGGCACGAAUGAGCCCUCCUGUGAUACAUGAAGUGGUGGUCCUAUGGCUAGCAGAGAUACCUGGCUGCGUGCAAGAGCCAGCAGACUACACAAGAGCACAGCCCACAGCGACUCUGUGUUUUGCACAUAUAUGUGAUCUACUGCAGUUGUCUUACUGAUCUACAUCUCUCACUGACAUCCUAUGCCAUUACAAAAGCUUCUCACUUGAAUUAUGAAGCAGAUCAGAGGCCACCAUAAAAUCAUCCCCAGAAGAAAAAGGCAACAUAAUGGAACACAAAUUAAAAUACAAAUUUAAGCACAAAGCACCAGGAGAGGUCUGGAACACAGCAUGCAUAUUACCUUAAAAAACAAAAUGUAAAAGAGUGAGUCCUAACAACCAUACAUUAGAAAUUGCAAUGUGUUCUAAUAUCUUCCAGAUGUGGAUUUCAUUAUUGCUAAAGUUAGAUGGGUUACAACCUGCACUUAAAAAGCUUUUCUUUGCCACAAACUGAGAGAGUGAAGAUUUGCUGAAGCAGAGAGAAAGGAAGGAGCUGAACCUCCUCCUGCCAAACACUCGACUAAUGUAUAUGAGUAUUUUACUGGCAACUCGGAGGAGAGGGUUUGUUCCCAUUAUAGCUGGUUUCUUUAUUUCUUACUGAGGUUGGUAGAACUUCUCACAGGAAGGAUGUAACACGGGAGGUGGCCGAUUACAAUCUCCUAUUUCUACAUGGAGCCAACUGCUGUUUACAAGCAAGUGCACCCUGGAGGCACUGAGGAAUAAAUACCUACCAAACAGCCUAUAGCCAGCUAAAUAAAU
Molecule: long non-coding RNA, 944 nt
Organism: Gallus gallus (chicken)
Lineage: Eukaryota; Metazoa; Chordata; Aves; Galliformes; Phasianidae
Source: Ensembl